RNAcentral lists this ribosomal RNA (200 nucleotides) under uncultured bacterium. Its description in RNAcentral is "partial 16S ribosomal RNA". It matches the Rfam family "Bacterial small subunit ribosomal RNA", at positions 8 to 222 of the family's 1533-position model. The record is from RNAcentral.
AGAGUUUGAUCCUGGCUCAGAACGAACGCUGGCGGCAUGCCUAACACAUGCAAGUCGAACGCAAGGCUCUGGUUCGCUGGGGCCUUGAGUGGCGCACGGGUGAGUAGCGCGUGGGAACCUGCCCAGGAGUGGGGGAUAACCGAGGGAAACUUCGGCUAAUACCGCAUACGCCGGGAAACCGGGAAAGAUUUAUCGCUCUU